This 391-nucleotide long non-coding RNA is filed under the name Homo sapiens (human). Its description in RNAcentral is "HSALNT0126091". Lineage: Eukaryota; Metazoa; Chordata; Mammalia; Primates; Hominidae. The record is from RNAcentral.
UGUAAUCCCAGCUACUCAGGAGGCUGAGGCAGGAGAAUCACGUGAACCUGGGAGGCGGAGAUUGCAGUGAGCCGAGAUCGCACCAUUGCAAUCCAGCCUGGGCAACAAGAGUGAAACUCCCACCUGUCUCGUCCCCAGUGGCUUUUCCAGAACUACUGCCUUCACCAUGAAGCUCCAUGAGCUUUCCCAAUUCAAACUUGGGCUUCUUCAGCAUUUUUACUUUUCUAACGAAGACAUCAUGGAGAGGAUAAAUAGACUGGCAAGCCUUUUCUAUGUCUUUUCCAAUGCUGUCUGGAAUCAAUUUAUUGACCACUUCUUUCAAGUCAUUUGUCUGCACCUCUCGGGUCAUGAUUUCGAUCAUCUUCUUCCGGAUUUGGCGGACCUGUUGGUG